UUGCUUUUUUUACAGCCCAGCCAGAAAUAUCUGGUGAUUCCGGUAGUACUGCGAUUUGCUUACUUACCGUUGUUUUUAUUCUGCAACUACCAACCGGCUCGCAUAGAGAGAUCACUACCCAUAUUUAUCGAUAAUGAUUGGAUUUUCUGGAUCAUUGCUAUUACUAUGGGCUUCAGUAGCGGAUAUCUGUCAUCAUUAUCAAUGAUGUACUGUCCUAGAAUGGUGGAUUCGCAGCACGCAUCGACGGCCGGCAUGUUUGGGGCAGCAUCUUUAAUUACGGGGAUCUUUACAGGAAUCCUAUUUUCCAUGGCAAUGCCAAGUGUGGUGGCCAACGUGACGUUUUGAUUGUUUUAAAGAUGAAAUUUAGCGUUGCGAUAUACUUCUAUUUACUCAGGAGUUAGAAAAGAAAUGAAAAUUGAGAGAUAUUGGAACGUUUCUCUUAUUACAGUUAAAGAUGAGCAAUUUCUAUUCCUUAAGAAAAAAAAAAAAACAUUUUAAGAGCGGAAAUACUGAGGCUACUGCUCUUUAACACGAAAUAAGAGAAACAUUUCGAAAUGUUUACAUAUAUGUUGAAAAUACAUAUACAUAUAUAAUCAUACAAUUCUUUAAAUAGCAGAUUAUGAAGACAAGCUUUCAAUUAAAUAAGAACCUUUCAAAGUAAUGCAUGUUUUAUAUAAGCGUGACUUGGAGUUUUUGGAUUGAUUAAUCAUUUUUAAUGUCCUGUUGAUAGGAGAAAUAGUUAUGGAAAAAUAAAUAAGAUCAUGUAAAGUACGCAUUAAUGACCAGAAUAAGAUCGUUUCACAAGAGAUCUCUUGAAAAAUACCGGAAUUUAUCAGGUUUUAUCAGGAUUUAGAAAAGUUAAUAUAUUACUACUGCCCUUAUUAAUAAAACCGGACCAAUAAGCCUUAUUAAUGAAAAAAGAAAGCUGUACGGCACUUCCAUUUUUCGCAUUGUUCGAAUAACUGCUAAAUCAUUAGACGUAACAAAAAGAUUGUACAUUUAAAUCUGCAUAAUUCGUCACGCGUUUAAAGCUAAACGUAUUUUUCAUUUUGUUAAGAUUACAUUUAAAAUAUAAAGUAGAAUCAAACACUCCCAUCUUUGGCGCUAAACGCGUAACGAAAAUAUGUCUCUUAAUAGAAGUAAGCAUUACAUUUUUAGAUAGAGUUUACGCUAAAGUUGCCAUGCUGAAUUUUCCUGCAGAAAUUUUAUUUCUAAGUUAAUCUUGCUAUAGGCAUAUAUAAUUUUAAAGACAAAACAGUUUAAAAAACAGUUCUAGCAGCACUCCUUUGAAUUAAACAAUUAUAAUCUAAUUUAAUUACAUUGAAAAAGUAAAUUUUGAGUUUUACAUACUUUAAUUAUUUAAUUGAUCUUGGUUUAAAAGUUAAACUUGGGAAUAAUAAUAAAAUAGAGACCAUAUCUAGUAAUAUUUUUACAUAAUUGACAAGAUUUUGUAGGAAGAUCUGAUGUAAUUGUUUUGUAAUAAAUUUCCAUAUUAUUUUUAGUAUUACAAAUUUAUUCUGUAAUUACACGAGGUUGUUAUUUAUUAUUUUUUAGUACUGUUUAGUACUUUAUUUAAUAUUUUUUAUUUACAUAAAAAGUUGUCAUGCCUCGAAUUUUAUUAAAGUUAUAAUGAAUAUAUCAAAACAAAAAUUUUGCAGUUUUUUAGUUUUAUGAUAUUUUCAUAAAUUUUCCGUCUUAUAAUACUUGAAAUAAAAAUUUUAUUACAUUGAAAGUUAUGCAGGAGAGUCAAGACUGUUGGCCAUCCGAUUAAUACUAGUCCUAUCAGAAUUUUGACGACGAGCUUUCCACCUUAUCUAAAAUUAACACGAGCUAUAAUUGUAGAAAUUGGAAAUAUUUAUACAUUUGCUUGGACUAUGAUUAUAUGUUUUUAAUUGCAUAAUUUUUUGCCAUAUAUACAUGAGCUUAUAUUAUUUAUGUUUUAAUUAUAUAUUAGUCAUAUGAAAAGUCAUGGUGUUUUGUAAAUUUCAAAUGAUUGUAAUUAAAUUGUGUGAUGCACAAUAUUCUUCCAUAAAGCAAUAUUUGGACAAUCUGUACAAUUUUUUUAAUAAGAGCGCACAUUGCUUCAGAUAAAACUUAAUUUUAAACAUAAACUUUUAUAACUUAAGCUUAUACAAAAGCUUGUUAAUGUUUUUCUAAAUUUAUAUUAGAAAAUUAUAUUUUAAUAUCAUAAUUACAUUAAUUAUUAGUAAGAUAUGGCGGGGCUGCUUGAAUAAUUUGAUAUAAAUUUUUUAAAAUUAUCGCUGUUAAACAAUGCACAUACAUUCAUAAAUGUUCAAAUGUAACGUUUAUAUACAUCAAUGCGCACAUGCGAUAAAUUUGGAUAUUGUCUUAUUACCCAUAGAUAGCUCCAUUGUAUCUUAUAUAGCAAAUUGAAUCUCAUCUUCGUCGAAAUUUUCUCAUACUAGUUUUAUGAUGUAGCAUUUGCAUUAUACAUUAUAUUGAAAGUUAGUACAGUGUAUACCGUGAGAGACGGCUCAAACGUCUUUUCAUAAUUUUAUAUUUUUCUACAAGAGUUUUACCUUGAGUACAUAAAUGGAGUGUUUCUAAAAUCUUUGGCUAAAUUUAAUCAAACUGUAUUCAAUAAUUCUGUUCAACUAAUCUUAUCAUAAAUUUUUUUAAAUAAUUUUAUCCAAUUUUACCUAUCAUCGAUUCUAUUAAUAUAUAUUGUACUGAUAAAAAACUAUAAUAUUCCUAUAAAUUAGUGAUUUUGAUACAGUGUAAUAUAAUUUAUCCAAAUAUUUUGAUAACACCCUGUAUAUAUACAAUGUGGGAUAUAUUCAGCAAGAGAGCGCGUUUGUACAUGCAUUUUUAAUUAUUCUAAAGUAUAAGCUCUAUGACUCGUCUAUUAUCUCUCUUUAUCUAAUACUGUGCGCAAUCCAUCUCUAUUAUCUUUCAUCGGUUCUAUUUACACUCUACUAAUCGAUAAACAUAAAAGGUUGCACUACUAAUGCAUUUGAAAGAUUUCCUUAUUUGCAAUACAGUGAUUUUAGGAGAAACUUUUACAAAUUAAAUUAAAUCUAGAUUUAAUACAAUAAAUUUAAUUUUUUUUUUUUUUUAUUCUAUAGCUUUAUCUCUAUUAAAUAUAAAUUUAAUAAAUUAUUAUUGUAACAUAAUUGUAAGUUGUGUCUUUAAAGACAAUUCUAAAAUAAUAAGCUAACUACCUUCACAUAUAUAGAAUUACUGUGUUGCGAAUAAAAAUGUUUUUUUUUUUUUUUUUAUUAAUUACUUUAUUUAAAAAACGAAGGGAUUUCUUACACUUUAAUCGUUAUCAGAUUGACGAAAAUAAUAAUUCUAAAAUGAAUUCUGAAUUCCUACAAGGACAAUCCUCCGUAUAAAGCAACAGACAAUAAAUAAUCGAGGGAAUUCGAUAAUCCAAUAAAAUCGGAAGAUUCAUUAAAUUUAAAGAAGAGAAAAAAGAAAUUGAUAGAAUAGAUAGAAUAUUUUUAUAUGGAUUCUCACAGUCAUACAUGAAUAAAUUUCAUUCGACAAAUUGUUUCGCGCGUAUUAUACUGUUUAGAUUAUAAACGAGCUGUGUAUUUUAAACAAAUUCACGCAUUAAUAUUACACGCUACGUAUAUAAGAUUUAAGUGUAUAUUUAUUUCCGCAUGAAAAUGGGAUAUAACUCUUUAAAUAAGUUCGUUCUAAGGAGUUUUAUCAUUUUUAUGUCGAAAUGUAAUACAAUAAUAUAUUAAUUAUCUAUACAAAUCUAUAAGAUGUCUAAAAAAUCGCAGAUUUCUCGAUUAUAGAUUCAUAAAAUAAAAUAACUAUUCAAUAAUUUGAAAAGAAAUCCAUUUUAUGCUAUUACAUAUUCCCGAUUCUUUCUAAAAUUUUAAUUUAAAAGAUUAAAUUAAAUCCAUUAUAUUAUUUUAAUUGUUAAUAUUCUUAAACUUAAAUUUUUAAUAUUAUAUACUUUGUAACUGUUUUAAAGCAUUUCGACAUUCGGUAAAUCGAUGUUCUUUUUAUUUGACUUUUAUCUGCGAUUUUUGAAAAAUAUAGAUUCUGUGAAACAUCCUGAAUAUGUAAAAAUUGAAGAUCUUGUAAGAUAAGAAAUGGUUGCGUUUUAUGAAUAAGUAGAUUUAUGGAAACAGUUUGAACCGUUCAAUUUAUUGUAGAAAGAAUGUUAAAUAAAUGAGUAAGGACUAAUUAUCCCCAUUGAAAAAUA
Long non-coding RNA from Formica exsecta, 4183 nucleotides. RefSeq lists it as uncharacterized. Lineage: Eukaryota; Metazoa; Arthropoda; Insecta; Hymenoptera; Formicidae. The record is from RefSeq and is a predicted model, not a curated record. The transcript is spliced from 2 exons.